RNAcentral lists this ribosomal RNA (878 nucleotides) under uncultured bacterium. Its description in RNAcentral is "bacterial SSU rRNA". It matches the Rfam family "Bacterial small subunit ribosomal RNA", at positions 13 to 872 of the family's 1533-position model. The record is from RNAcentral.
UUGAUCCUGGCUCAGAACGAACGCUGGCGGCGUGCCUAACACAUGCAAGUCGAGCGCGAAUAGGGGCAACCCUUAGUAGAGCGGCGCACGGGUGCGUAACACGUGGAUAAUCUGCCUGGAUGCCUGGGAUAACCAGUCGAAAGACUGGCUAAUACCGGAUAAGCCCACGGUUUCUUCGGAGACUGAGGGAAAAGGUGGCCUCUGUAUACAAGCUAUCACAACCAGAUGAGUCCGCGGCCCAUCAGCUAGUUGGCGGGGUAAUGGCCCACCAAGGCGACGACGGGUAGCUGGUCUGAGAGGACGAUCAGCCACACUGGAACUGAGACACGGUCCAGACUCCUACGGGAGGCAGCAGUGGGGAAUUUUGCGCAAUGGGCGAAAGCCUGACGCAGCAACGCCGCGUGUGUGAUGAAGGUCUUUGGAUUGUAAAGCACUUUCGACCGGGACGAAACCGUAAAGCCUAAUACGCUUUGCCUUGACGGUACCGGGAGAAGAAGCACCGGCUAACUCUGUGCCAGCAGCCGCGGUAAUACAGAGGGUGCAAGCGUUGUUCGGAAUUAUUGGGCGUAAAGCGCGUGUAGGCGCUUGCAAGUCGGGUGUGAAAGCCCUCAGCUCAACUGAGGAAGUGCGCCCGAAACUGCAGAGCUUGAGUGCCGGAGAGGGUGGCGGAAUUCCCCAAGUAGAGGUGAAAUUCGUAGAUAUGGGGAGGAACACCGGUGGCGAAGGCGGCCACCUGGACGGUAACUGACGCUGAGACGCGAAAGCGUGGGUAGCAAACAGGAUUAGAUACCCUGGUAGUCCACGCCGUAAACGAUGAGAACUAGGUGUCGUGGGAGUUGACCCCCGCGGUGCCGUAGCUAACGCAUUAAGUUCUCCGC